Molecule: RNA transcript, 1455 nt
Organism: Corticium candelabrum
Lineage: Eukaryota; Metazoa; Porifera; Homoscleromorpha; Homosclerophorida; Plakinidae
Gene name: solute carrier family 35 member E3-like
Exons: 7
Source: RefSeq, a predicted model, not a curated record
AUCUAACGCGCGCGUGUGCAACAUGAAACGUGGGUGUCAUCUCCGUAUCCGACGUGCUCUUUCUCAAAUGGCAAUAGAAAUCGGCUGCUAUGACAACAGAGCGAGGAUCUCAGCCUGUCUAGCUAUCAACCUCGUCUCUUCAAUAUCUAUAGUAUUUACCAACAAAUGGAUUUAUGUUCAUUACGGAUUUCCCAAUAUUUCUCUCACUUGCAUUCAUUUUCUGACGACGUAUUUGGGAUUGCUGAUUUGCUCUGUUGCUGGUGUGUUCUCUCCGAAGAAAUUGAGAGUUCUUGAUGUGUUUCCUUUGUCUCUGACUUUUUGUGGCUUUGUGGUGUUCACUAAUCUGUCACUGCAGUACAACACUGUAGGGACGUAUCAGUUGGCUAAAGUGAUGACGACGCCGUGUGUUAUGUUUAUCCAUAUAUAUUUUUAUGGCAGGAAGUACUCUCAUAGAGUCAAGAUGACAAUGAUUCCUAUCUUUCUUGGAGUUUUUUUGAACUCUUAUUAUGAUGUGAGAUUCAACACUUUGGGAACAACAUUUGCUAUUGUCGGUGUUUUAGUCACAUCUCUAUAUCAAGUGUGGAUAAGCACGAAGCAAGAAGAGUUGGAAGUCAAUUCCAUGCAACUGCUGUAUUACCAGGCACCUCUUUCAGCUUUUCUACUGGGGUGUGUGAUACCAUUCUUUGAGCCGUUGUCUGGGGAUAAGGGUGUGUUUGGGGUUUGGUCACUACAGGCGAUAGCAGCUGUGGCUGUGUCUGCUGUUAUUGCAUUUUCUGUCAACUUGUCUAUAUAUUUCAUCAUUGGCAAGACAUCACCAGUAACAUAUAACAUGUUUGGUCAUUUGAAAUUUUCUAUUACUCUUCUGGGCGGCUAUUUCAUCUUCAAAGAUCCUCUCUCUAGCAAACAGUUGCUUGGAAUUUUGCUAACUGUGUGUGGUAUCGUUGCUUAUACACAUAUCCGAAUGAGUGAACAACAAAAGGCAAAAAAAGAUGUGCAAGUAAAAACUUUAGACGUAACUGGGAAGAAGAGGACAGAUGAUGUAUAGAUUGAGAUUCAUUUUUGCUAAAGAUAACUCAGAUUUGGUGGUUUGCUUAGCUUGUAUAUACCUUGACGGUAAGACUUAGUAACUAUCUGCCUAUCUGCAUUGAUAUGAAACCAGACGAGCAAGUGGACAGGCUUGAUGGUCAGUUUCCAUCCUAGGAGAGAGAGGUCUUUCUUCUCGUAGGGGAAAAAUGGUUGGACCUGGCAUUGAGCCUGUGAUUUGUGUAGAUUGUGAAACUAACAUUAAUAUCCAAUGGUCUCAAGAAUUUUGUUCAAAAUCUCUAGUCUGGUGAAAUUUGUAUUGCUUGUGAUGUCAUCUUUAACCAUGAUGAGGAUUUGCAGCAUUUCUAUAUACACAUUAUUAAGCUUGCUAGAUUCAUACGAUCUAGUUUAGUCAGAAUUCGAUGAGUUACU